AUGGGGUGUCACUACGUUGACCAGGCUGCUUUUGAACUCCCGGCUUCAAGCGAUCCUCCCACCUUGUCCUCCCAAAGUACUUGGAUUACAGGUACUUGGUUUUCAGUUCUUCAGUAUCACAAAGGACACAGCAAAGGCACCACCUCACUAGUGGGUGCUCAAAGGUUGUUUCCAGACUGACUGAUUCGGAAUUACUGGGUAGCUUUUAAACCAGAGAUUUCUCCCUUCCACCCUAGAUUCCUGACGAGGGAGGUGGCUUUUUUUUUUUUUUUUUGAGACAGAGUCUUUCUAUGUCGCCCAGGCUGGAGUGCAGUGGCGCGAUCUCGGCUCACUGCAAGCUCCGCCUCCUGAGUUCACGCCAAUCUCCUGCCUCAGCCUCCUGAAGUAGCCGAGAUUAUAGGCAACUGACACCAUGCCCAGCAAGUUUUUUUUUUUUGUAUUUUUAGUUGAGACGGGGUUUCACCAUGUUAGCCAGGAUGGUCUCGAUCUCCUGACCUCGUGAUCCACCCGCCUCGGCCUCCCAAAGUGCUGGGAUUACAGGCGUGAGCCACCGCGCCUGGCUAGGGAGGUGGCUUUUAAGAAAAAAAUAAAAGGACCCUCCAGGUGAUCCUGUUGUAAAUUAGGAAUCACUGGUCUUGAGUUCUCAGAGGACUGUUUUUUUUUUUUUUUUCUUUUCCGUAGCUGAAAUCCCCUUACCCCAUACAGCGCC
Molecule: long non-coding RNA, 709 nt
Filed under: Papio anubis (olive baboon)
Lineage: Eukaryota; Metazoa; Chordata; Mammalia; Primates; Cercopithecidae
Description: lncRNA (ENSPANG00000048575.1)
Source: RNAcentral